This is a long non-coding RNA of Camelus dromedarius (Arabian camel), 2084 nucleotides long. RefSeq lists it as uncharacterized. The transcript has 2 exons. The record is from RefSeq and is a predicted model, not a curated record. NCBI's taxonomy places the organism in Eukaryota, Metazoa, Chordata, Mammalia, Artiodactyla, Camelidae.
GGAGGACACGUGCCAGCCCAGGCCAGCCCCCCCCGAGGGGACAGGAGCCGACACCCAGCUCGGAUCCCACGGGGAUCCAGAGCUUCUAGCAAAGACACUCUUCCAGCAUCGGCGGGGCCGGCACCGUGUGACGCUGAGGAGCACGAUGGGGACGAGCCCCCGGUGGCCCCAUCACUCGCCUUGGGGACGGGCCCAGCCAGUCCCCCCCACUUCGCACGGGAAGACUGACCCAGUCUCGCUUGUCGUCAGUCUUGCUGGGACUCCCACGCUGCGUCGCAAGUGCGAGGCGUCCACGUGGACAAGGGCGCCUCGCCCGCAGCCUGUCCGGGUCUGGGAAAGAAGGGGCGGCCAUUAGGGUUACUUGCUUAUUUAUUUAAUGGAGGUGCUGUGACUGAACCCAGGACCUCACGCGUGCCAAGCUCAUGCCCUCCCUCCUGGAAAUACUCACUUCCUCCUGGAAGGGACCGUACACCCCUGGCUCCCCUCCUCCAGCCUCUCGGCAGCCGGAAACAGUGGUGGGACUGUGCCCCCCUUCCCCAGAGCUGCCAGGUCUCUCCUGUCCCUACCCUGAGGCGGUCCCCAGCCCUCUGCUCGUCCCGGCCCCGCCGGCAGACCCGACACCCAGCUCAGCGACGAGCAGCAUUGUCACUGGAGGUCAAAGGGGCGAAUUUCUCGCCCUGAAGCGGGCCUUGACACCGCCUCUCCGCAGCAGGGGCUCGCACUUCCCUUCCCGAGCCCCCCCUCCCUUUGCUCGUCCCAGACAGUCUUACCGGAAGCCCUGCUGCCGUCUCUUCUCCACGUCAGCGCCUUUUCCCGUCUCCUCUGAGUCCACCAUCACUCCUCGACCUCCUGCCCUUUUGUGGUCGUCUUCUUACUGGUUUGGGGGUGGAAGCUGCCCAAGGCGGCCGGGGCAGUGCUGAGCGGUGGAGAAGACCAGGCAGGCGAUAACACAGUCUUCCACGUGAAGACAGAGCCUCACGCCAGGCAAAUAAAUUAGAAGACGUUUCCUCAAAAGCUUUGAAAUGCAAAGAACGAUUCAAGGUGGAACGUGCAGGUAAUGACAGUAACUCCCCAAAGAACCUUUGAGAAGCAGGCGGGGCACCGCGGAGCGGCCACACGGGCCUUACAGCCACGAGGGAGGAGCAGAUGCCCUUUGAAGGAGACGUGGUGUGUUCACCCCCCAUUUUACUGCAAGAAAAGUGGAAACUCAGCAAGAGGCAGUGCUGUGCACCAGAUCUGAGACCUGGGAGGCGGCUGACCACAGCACUGCCCGUCCUGUUACAAACCCUGGGCUCCUCCACCGUGAGGCCCGAGGCUUCAGGGCCCUGAGAUGCAUGGGACCUUUCCGGGCCCCGCGUAACCUGCCACAGAGCUCUUUGGCCGAUCCCGAUUUUAACGCUUGCCACGUAGAUGAGGUCUGGAGAGCACUGAGGACAACGUCGGCGUUUGGCCAUUCAGAACCUCAAAUGAGCUCCAGUUUUAAGACGAGCCUUUGAAAUUUAUUCUUGAGCAAGCUCACUGACUGUAUGCCCUCCCUCUGCGAUCCCGGGCCGCGCGCCGUGCGCAGGGAACGUGCAGCUGUGCUGGAAAGGAGGCUCGGAAAAGCGAAAAGAACAUAAAACCACUGCAAAAUGCCCUUCAUGGUCAUGGUUUAUUCGUGAACAGACCUCAUCACCACUUAGACCACAAACUUUGUACUGUAAGUAGAAUUUCUCAGGACAGUGGCUAACUUAAAUUUCCUUCCUCCAACCAGCUCUGAUGCAUAAUGUACCACGCCUUAUCCAAGAAGCUUGUCAAGUCUGACUCAGAAAAUGGGAAAGUAAAUGUAGGGAAGGGAGACCUCCAGAUUAGCCGAGCACGUGAGACCUACAGUGAGAACAAAAUAUUAUAAGCACUUAGAAAAACUGACCAAGGGCAAGUCCUCCCCUCGGUCCCUUGGAAGAUACAAGAAAACGCACCGUCAUUUGUGUAGAACUUCGCUGAAUGGCAUUGGUUUGCUGCGUACGAAACGUCCCUGUCCUUGGCCCCUGCCUGGCACCAGUUACUCCGGGCAGCCAUCUGGUAAGGUGCAAAGAAACUGAAGC